This is a long non-coding RNA of Magallana angulata, 402 nucleotides long. RefSeq lists it as uncharacterized. The transcript has 3 exons. Lineage: Eukaryota; Metazoa; Mollusca; Bivalvia; Ostreida; Ostreidae. The record is from RefSeq and is a predicted model, not a curated record.
CCAAAAAAUUGAUACUGGAAAUAUAUUCUCAAUACAAAAGUGAUCUACAGAGUGACCAAAAGGAAGAUAGUCAUAAAUGAAAUCUGGGGAGUUUUCGAAAACUUGACUUGGUUAACGUUGAAGUUAUGACGACGAGACUCUUUCUGAUGGGACUACUUCUUUCAAGGCACAUGCAGCAGCUUCCUGGGGAGUGUGCAGUCUGUUUACAUAUAAACGGAAAACACGUGGUUUGAGGGAAGACCUGUUUGGAGCUAGAUAUAGCGUAUCAUGUGCCCUUUUUGUGUUAUCUGAUGAGAUAGGAAAUCGUCAGACGUCUAUACUCUAUGAUAUCGGCUUCUAUUGUAAAAUUAUCCAUCAUCAAUAGUGUGUUUUUCGCCCUCCAAAUAAAGACGCAUUUACAAG